UACAGUUUACACAGAGUUUUAUUCAGGGUAACUUACUGACAAGAGGGAUUGGGCAGAGGACAAUCGAGGCAGCUGCAAAGUUAUUCUCUGCAAAAUCCAGACGUCUACAGAUUUUAUAAAGGGGAUAGACAGGCAGAAGGGCAUUGUACUCAGAUCAAAGGGUUCAAAUGCACCUCAAAGAGCUUGCACACACCUGACAGCUAACCUUUAAUUGGAUCUUAGGGUACCGCCUCAAGAAGGGGAGAAAUUGCGUUAUCGCUAACAGAUUCAUGGGAGGCCAAAACAAGCCUCUCUUCAUCCCUGCAUGGAGCCUGCUUCUCCCUCUGCCUGUGUCUCUGCCUCUCUCUCUUUCAUGAAUAAAUAAAAUCUAAAAAAAAAGAAAAAGAAAAAGAAGGGAAAGGGAAAGAGAAAGGAAAAGGGAAAGGAAAGAAAGCUGUGUGGGACAGGCAAGCCGCUGGCACCGCCCGCCGGCCGGGUGCUUUCCGGGGAACGGUGUGGACCUCACCGUCCGGGGGGGCCGUGCGGCCCUGAAGCAAGAGCUGGGUUCUUGUCUCCCGGAGCAGAAGAAUGAGUCUCACGGACAAGAGAGAGUAAAAGCAGUGGAAGUUUAUUAAGCAAGGAUGCAGAGAAACUCUCAGGAGAGGGGUCCUCAUGGGGUUGCCAACUGGGCCUCCACUGACAAGUCUUUUAUUGAGAACUGACCAGGGAGAUUGUGGCCUUAUCCUCCCUGAGACGUCCUGGUUUAAGUCUGCUGAUAACAUCUUUAAUGACUUCCUUUUGGGUCUGGUUAUUCUUUACCGGUCACAGGUGUGUGUGUGUGUGUGUGUGUGUUUUCCACCCAUAUCCGGGGGCAGGGUGGUCUGGUCUGUGCCCGUAGGUCUGGUUUCCUUACAUCUCAGCAUUCUGGGGACUUUGUGAGCCUGCCUCCGCGGCCCCCUCUCCAUCUCUCCCUACCUAGCCCCGCCAGUCCCUCCCUCACUCAUCCCCAGCCCUUGGCACAGGUGGCUGCCGGGCCUCGCACCUGCGAGUUGGGUUUGGGCUGUCUCACGGGACGCUCAUCCAGGCUCAGGGACCUACCUGCACAGCUGCAAACGGUGCACAGUUUCCCAGACUGCCUGGGUCAGCACCCGCCCGCCUCCCCUCCCCCCACCGCUCCCGGGCCAGCCCGGCAGCCUCCCCACGCCUCAGUGACCUCAACGCAGGAGGGGCUGUGGCGCUGACCGUGGUGCGCGGCCCGGGAAGCCCGCCGUCCGCGACGCAGACGCGCCACAGCCGCGGCGUGGCCAGGACGGGCGGCGAGCGUCUCACCAGCUCCCACCGCCUCGGUGACGCGCGGCGACACUCACCACGGCGCUCUCGGGGCGCAAAAUUCGGGCCUCCUCCGACUGAGGCCUCUGUAGACGUUUGCCUCCUGCGUCCAGUCGCCCUCGCCCCUGGCGGACAGCCGCGUCCUCACCCGCAGCUCCUCGAGGAGGACAGCGCCUCCCGGGACGCGCCCAGGCGAGGGCGAAGCCACGCGGUGCGACGACGCCAGCUGCGGGAGACGCCGCCGCCGGGACGCACGC
Molecule: long non-coding RNA, 1565 nt
Filed under: Canis lupus familiaris (dog)
Lineage: Eukaryota; Metazoa; Chordata; Mammalia; Carnivora; Canidae
Description: lncRNA (ENSCAFG00000050824.1, ENSCAFG00805003752.1)
Source: RNAcentral